GGAGAGGUGGCCGAGUGGUCUAAGGCGGUAGACUCGAAAUCUAUUGUACGUUUACGCGUACCGGGGGUUCGAAUCCCUCCCUCUCCGCCA
Molecule: transfer RNA, 90 nt
Filed under: Myxococcota bacterium
Lineage: Bacteria; Pseudomonadati; Myxococcota
Description: tRNA-Ser
Rfam family: tRNA
About the family: Transfer RNA (tRNA) molecules are approximately 80 nucleotides in length. Their secondary structure includes four short double-helical elements and three loops (D, anti-codon, and T loops).
Source: RNAcentral